This is a long non-coding RNA of Mustela erminea (ermine), 767 nucleotides long. RefSeq lists it as uncharacterized. The transcript is spliced from 3 exons. The record is from RefSeq and is a predicted model, not a curated record. Lineage: Eukaryota; Metazoa; Chordata; Mammalia; Carnivora; Mustelidae.
GAGCCGAAGGCAGACACCUAACCGACUGAGCCCCCAGGCACCGCUCCACAUGUGAAUUUCUUAAGUCCCAACGCCUCCAUCUGAUGUAGCUCUGGCAGUCCUUGUUUCCACCUGUGAGGUCCCAGAGGCAGAGAAGGGAGAAACUUGUUGAAGACCCCAUGGCCGGAUCAUCCCUGGAAUGGGUCCCAGGAUGUUCCAGUUGCUUCUGCUGGGCACAUUCACAGUGCUCUUCAUGGAUGAAGGAAACCGAGUCCUGACAUCGAGAUGUAUGGUGUAGUUGGUUUGCAGUUUUUGGAUAAAUAAUGCCGCAAUGAGAGGGGAUACUCCUGAUUUUUUCAAACAUUGUCUCUCUACCCUCCCUGAAAUAUUCCACUCUCCUCACUCACUGCUCUAGUGUCUUUUUUCUGUCCCCAGCCUUGGGCAAAGGAGGGAGGAGGCUUGAAUCCCUGGGGUCAUAGCUGUCACCCACUCAAGGGAGUGAGGACCCCAGGCAGGAGCUGGGAAGGGUAUCAGCUUCCUUCUUGCGAGGUCUACACUUUGCCAGUGUAACUGAUAGUGGGAAGCUUCUGAAGCUGAAUUACUUAACCUAGAGCUCUGCUUUAAAAUUUCCUCUUUUUAUUUAGUGGUUCGAUUUUGCUAUCAAUGUGCCCACUUUGAUGGACUAUCAGAUGCCUGCACUGGCUUGAAACAAGUGGCUGGAAAGUCAAUCUAACAUUUGACAAAAGGAGUUGUACCAUAGAUCACUACUACUACAAUGAUCGAAUUAC